Molecule: long non-coding RNA, 299 nt
Organism: Grammomys surdaster
Lineage: Eukaryota; Metazoa; Chordata; Mammalia; Rodentia; Muridae
Exons: 2
Source: RefSeq, a predicted model, not a curated record
CAGCCUGAGGAGCAGCAGGCAUUUGGUAAAUAAAUAAAUAAUGGAGAAUAAUGGAGUGAUGAAUCUUUGCACCUCAGGGCAACACUAGGACAAUGUGAAGAGCCUCGGGAUAGACUUCAGGUUUUGAGAUGCCUCCAAGAAUGAUCCAGCCUCUACAGACAGACCACCUCAAACGGAUUCAGGAAGAAGGAGCAGCAUAAGGAAAGGCCCUUGCCAGACACCAAAUAUGCCAAGACCUUGGCUGUGGACUUCAGAGCUCCAGAACUACAAAACAAUAAAUUUCUCCUGAUUAUAAAUUA